This 254-nucleotide ribosomal RNA is filed under the name uncultured bacterium. RNAcentral describes it as "partial 16S ribosomal RNA". It matches the Rfam family "Bacterial small subunit ribosomal RNA", at positions 524 to 776 of the family's 1533-position model. The record is from RNAcentral.
UACGUAGGGGGCGAGCGUUGUCCGGAUUCAUUGGGCGUAAAGAGCUCGUAGGCGGCUUGGCAAGUCGGGUGUGAAACCUCCAGGCUCAACCUGGAGCUGCCACUCGAUACUGCCAUGGCUUGAGUCCGGUAGGGGACCACGGAAUUCCUGGUGUAGCGGUGAAAUGCGCAGAUAUCAGGAGGAACACCGGUGGCGAAGGCGGUGGUCUGGGCCGGUACUGACGCUGAUGAGCGAAAGCGUGGGGAGCGAACAGG